UACGAAGGGGGCUAGCGUUGUUCGGAUUUACUGGGCGUAAAGCGCACGUUAGGCGGAUCGUUAAGUCGGGGGUGAAAUCCUGGAGCUCAACUCCAGAACUGCCUUCGAUACUGGCGAUCUUGAGUCCGGAAGAGGUGAGUGGAACUCCUAGUGUAGAGGUGGAAUUCGUAGAUAUUAGGAAGAACACCAGUGGCGAAGGCGGCUCACUGGUCCGGUACUGACGCUGAGGUGCGAAAGCGUGGGGAGCA
RNAcentral lists this ribosomal RNA (248 nucleotides) under uncultured bacterium. RNAcentral describes it as "partial 16S ribosomal RNA". It matches the Rfam family "Bacterial small subunit ribosomal RNA", at positions 524 to 770 of the family's 1533-position model. The record is from RNAcentral.